ACACACACACAUAACACCCUGCAGCCCAAGACCAGUUACUUACUAAAGCUAAGCAGGGCUAAGCCUGGUCAAUACCUGGAUGGGUGACCACAUGGUAAAACUAGGUUGCUGUUGGAA
Molecule: ribosomal RNA, 117 nt
Filed under: Danio rerio (zebrafish)
Lineage: Eukaryota; Metazoa; Chordata; Actinopteri; Cypriniformes; Danionidae
Source: RNAcentral